GACGAACGCUGGCGGCGUGCUUAACACAUGCAAGUCGAACGGAAAGGCCCUGCUUUUGUGGGGUGCUCGAGUGGCGAACGGGUGAGUAACACGUGAGUAACCUGCCCUUGACUUUGGGAUAACUUCAGGAAACUGGGGCUAAUACCGGAUAGGAGCUCCUGCUGCAUGGUGGGGGUUGGAAAGUUUCGGCGGUUGGGGAUGGACUCGCGGCUUAUCAGCCUGUUGGUGGGGUAGUGGCUUACCAAGGCUUUGACGGGUAGCCGGCCUGAGAGGGUGACCGGCCACAUUGGGACUGAGAUACGGCCCAGACUCCUACGGGAGGCAGCAGUGGGGAAUAUUGCACAGUGGGCGGAAGCCUGAUGCAGCAACGCCGCGUGCGGGAUGACGGCCUUCGGGUUGUAAACCGCUUUCGCCUGUGACGAAGCGUGAGUGACGGUAAUGGGUAAAGAAGCACCGGCUAACUACGUG
RNAcentral lists this ribosomal RNA (468 nucleotides) under uncultured bacterium. RNAcentral describes it as "partial 16S ribosomal RNA". It matches the Rfam family "Bacterial small subunit ribosomal RNA", at positions 28 to 507 of the family's 1533-position model. The record is from RNAcentral.